CAUCUGUUACCCCCUAUUUCCCCCUUCCAUUCCCCCUCAAUCGACUCAAGUCGUUAUUACACAAACAAACAAGCAAGCACACAACUUAAAUGGCUUCCAACGACCAAAACCAUCCCAGAGCCACGCAAGUUUUUUCAUCAUUAUCCACAAAAAAAAAAAAAGACACACACACACACAAUCAUUCGGCUACUUUCCUCCUUUGAUGUAAUUCAUUAUCCAAGCCACCUUCGAAAAUGGAGCUGACCGUUUCCACAAACCAUCCUAACAACAAUUUCCUUUCUCCGAGGUGGAAUUCCAAUCCAAUCCGACAAACAAUCAACAAAAGUCUCCACUUUUCUCAGCCGAUUCAGAAGAAGCUCCGCCGCCGGAUAUCAAAUUUGGCGGCGGCGAAUAACACAGGCUAUAGAACUGGUAGUAAUAGCAAAAGUGAUAAAAUCAACAAUAAUACUUUGGCAACAACAAGAACUUCGUCGGCGGAGACCGAGACGGUUGCAAUGGCUGCCGGAAAUGGAAAGCCUAGUAGUGCUGGUAACGGGAAUACGGCCUUGGAGCAGCUUGAUUUUGAGCGCGGCGUUUGCAUUCCGUUUCGCAAGUACUCUCCCCAAACAGUGAGGGAUAAGGUAUUGGAGUCAAGAGGCGCAAUAUUGUCACUCAUUGGUCGCGGGGUGGAGAUAGUAUGGAAGUUAGGCCUUUAUUGGUCUACAUUAGUGUAUGAUUAUUUCGUUGGUCGUGAUGAAGAAGUGGUUCCAUUUCGCGCCAGCCAGCUAAGAAAUCUUCUCUGUGAUCUCGGACCUUCUUUUAUCAAAGCUGGACAGGUCCUUGCAAACAGGCCUGAUAUAAUUCGAGAAGAUUACAUGAAUGAACUUUGCAUUCUUCAAGAUGAUGUUCCUCCUUUUCCCGACCAGAAGAGGAAUUAGGUCAACCUCUUGAAGCUGUUUUCAGCAAAAUUUCAUCAGAGACUAUAGCAGCAGCUAGUUUGGGUCAGGUUUACCGAGCUACUUUGUGUGCCUCCGGAGAGGAUGUUGCAAUUAAGGUGCAAAGACCUGAGAUAGAGCCUAUUAUAUAUCGAGAUCUUUUCCUUUUCCGGACCCUGGCAUCAUUCUUGAAUGGCAUCAGUUUACAAAAGCUGGGUUGCAAUGCAGAGCUUAUAGUUGAUGAAUUUGGCGAGAAGCUUCUGGAGGAGCUUGAUUACACUUUGGAGGCUCGCAAUAUUGAAGAUUUCCUAGAAAACUUUAAAGAUGAUCCCACUGUUAAAAUUCCCGGGGUUUACCGACAGCUUUCUGGUUCACAUGUCUUGGUAAUGGAAUGGAUUGAUGGGAUCCGAUGCACUGAUCCACAGGCUAUCAAGGAGGCGGGAAUUGACAUAGAUGGAUUCUUGACUGUUGGAGUAAGUGCUGCCUUGAGACAGUUGCUGGAGUUUGGUCUAUUCCAUGGUGAUCCACACCCAGGAAAUGUUUUUGCUUUGCGUGAUGGACGUAUAGCAUAUGUCGAUUUUGGGAAUGUUGCUGUGCUUAGUCAGCAAAACAAACAGAUUUUGAUAGAUGCUGUCGUACAUGCUGUAAAUGAGGAUUAUGCUGAGAUGGCAAACGAUUUUACCAGGCUCGGUUUUCUGGCUAGUGGAACUGAUGUAUCCCCAAUCAUUCCAGCUCUUGAAGCAAUUUGGCAGAAUUCACUUGAAAAAGGACUUGCUGACUUCAAUUUCAGAAGUGUGACAGGAAAAUUUAAUCAAUUAGUUUAUAAUUAUCCCAUCAGAAUUCCAGAGAGAUUUUCCCUUGUUAUCCGUUCUUUGUUGACACAAGAAGGCAUCUGUUUGACACUGGAGCCAGAUUUCAAAUUUCUUGAGGUUGCCUAUCCAUAUGUGGCAAAGCGCCUCUUGACUGAUCCUAACCCUGCUUUACGUGAACGCCUUAUUCAGGUUUGGUUUAACCUUUUGCUGUAUGUUACAGCCAUCUUCUAAUGCACAUUAUUAUCUUUUCUUCUAUUUGAUUAUUGAAAGACAAAAAUCCCUUAUAUCCAUCAAUUGAUGCAUGACCUUAUGGCUGUGGACUGAUAUCCCUGCUUAAUUGUUCCCCAUAUCGUUCAUGUUGUGAGCUGUUGAGACUGCAUCCUGUGAAAUUUAAUUGCUAAGUUGCUUGAUACAGAUGUUACGAAUUUAUGUUUCACCAAUUCUUGAUGCUUUUCUAUAUCAUGCGGUAACAAUUACAGCUGGAUGUAUUAUUUUGUGAAAUUGCGCAUCCCGCUUUGUGGUUUGUUUGUGGCUCUUCUUUAUUAUUAAUUCUCCUUAGUGCUCUUUACUGGAAGAAGGGUUACUCUUUCGAGAAUCAUGAAGGGAAGGAAAGAAGAAAAGAUUGCUUUGACUACUACCAAUGGCGUAUUUUGGACACCCCAGAUAAUACAGUUACUGUCUGGGAAAGAAUGAUCUGCAAUAUUUUCUCAAACACUCAUUUUAGUCCUCAAAUGAAACAGUUUAAUCCUUAUUUAUGUAUAUACCACUUCAUGUAAUAUCUUGUGACUUUUUUAACUUGACAAAACAUACUUAAUCAUUGGCCUGCUAAUUGUCAUCCAUUAAUUCUCAUGCCCUGCCACCUGCACCUAAUUUGGGCCAAUGCAAAUCCCAUUAAAGUUCAUGUUUGUUCAUAUUUUUAUAGCCACCAAGCUAUCAUGUCCAUGAGUUCUCUUCACUUCAGCAUCAUAGAAACCUGUCAAGUAGUUCAUCCACCUCUCCAUCUGUCAAUUCAUCCUGCCACACCCAUCUUAGCAAUCUCUCUGAAGUCAAAUAUAAGAAUUUUCUGGAAUUCAUUUAACCCUCUAAUGUGUUUCUUGGAAGGCAUGGUUUGAUGUGUCAGAUAGUGAAGUGUUUCAAUGCUCUUGCCUACAUGUGAGACAGUGUUAGUUACUUUGUUGGAUCAGGAAGGUUGAAAUGUUGUUUUAGGUCUGAAAGGGAAAACUUUGCAUUCUGCUUUUGCUGCUGUAUCUAAGUGUAUAUGAUGCUUGUUCCCCAGGAAUUGAAGUGAGGCACUGGGAUUCUUGGAUAUAUUGGGAAAUGUUGUAACAACCUUGUGAAGUUUGAGUUAAGUAAGUUUGGAUGGGAACUUUUAUGGUAAAAACAAAAAUAAGCUUCUCAUUUAGAGGAAACCAGAGUUGGGUUCAUUUGCUGGUAAAUUAGCUUCUUAAUGAUGGUACUGGGUGAUUUGCUGGGACUAAUAGCUUUUCUUCUUGAGCAAUGAUGGGCCAAAAUAUAAGGGUUCGUACGAUUUACCAUACAUAAAUAGGAAAUGCAGCAAUUGCUGAAGAAAAAAUAGAUUAAUGGUCGUAGUUUGUUCAAUCUCAAAGUUGCAUUGUGUUUCUUCUCCUGUCUCCUUGCAGGAAAACAGUGCCCUGGUUGGUUUCCUUUUGAAUUUUGCUAGUACUAGUUUCUCUGUGUGAAAUUUUUGAAGAGGCAGAUCAUUUGCUUUCUCUGUCUAGCUUACCAGUUGUCUUGUUCUUCUCACCAGUGUCCCUGGCAUCAUAUGCUGGCUAUGCUGACAGCUUCUUACUGAUUUUUUUCAAUUUUCUUUUUUGGGGAGAACAACUUUUAUUCAUUCACUUCAUUUUCUGAGGAAGAAUUUGUUCACCUGUUUAAUAUCAACUAAAUUACUAGUUAUGUACUGACUGUGACGAUCCAAAUUGUCACCCUGCAAAUGCAAAUGGAACAAGUGGCAGCAGAAAAACAGAAGUAAAUAUUGGCUGUGCUAGAUUGAGUACAUCAUGUGAACUUAUGACAAUAUGGGAAAGUUGCUAUAGGUGGUGUUGUAGUUUUAUGUGUUGCAAUUAUUGAAUACAUAUUUUGAAAAAUUCUCCCCUAGCAUGGGUUGUUACCUUUCAGUGCCUGUUUUAUCUUUGUUUUAUUGCAUUAGAAGUGAUUAAAGUAAUUUAAGUGGUGGCUCCAAUGAAAUAUGUUGCUUGCAAAACAUUGCUUAUGGUUUGUGUAUGUUUUGAUUCUUUUGUUACAUCCAAUGCUGAGGUUGUAUGGUGAUUGAUUAUAGAAUUCUGAUGGACUGUAAAAUAAAUAAUUUUCAAGCUUUCUUUUAAGUCUGCCCUUCCCCUCAUAUGUUAGGUCUUGUUUAAAGACGGUGUUUUCCAGUGGAAGCGUCUUGAGAAUCUAAUUGUUCUAGCAAAGGAGAAUGUGGCAAAGAUGAGCAGCAACCCAGCACUGCGAGGAGAGAGCAGGCAAAGGUCCAAACAGUGGCGCAUUGAAAGAAAGUUGGACCUUACAGACACAAUAAAGGAUGGAGCUAGACUUUUUCUCCUCGAUGCGGGUAUACGUAGACAGCUACUCCUUGCCCUAACUGAAGAUUCCAAGCUUCACAUUCAGGAGCUUAUUGAUGUGUACAGAUUGCUCGAGGACCAAAUAGAUAUACCGUCUGUAGCUCUAGAAGUCGCACAAGACUUACCAUCUGUUGCUAGGGAUGUUAUGCUGUCCUGGAGUGCCUCUGUCUUGUCUGAUAGGUAGUUUAGGCUACUAGCUUCCGUCUACCACAGUAUAUACCUAUUCCCACUGAAUGAAGUUAGGGCUUGGACUCCAUAAUUCGUAAGACGCCUUCUGUACGCUGUAAAUAUCCCCUUUUAUGAGUUAUGAGGACGUCCUAUCUGCUCAGUGAUUCUUAAUGCCGCAAGAGUACCAAUUAGUGCUCAACAGAUGUUACAAAAGUCAUAUAGUGAUAAUAGAUUUUGUGCAAGACAUCAAGGUAGUUGGUAAAUUAUCUUGCACUGUCAUCGCAAAUACCUAAGUUCUUGCAAUACUUUUAACAAAAAGUACCUUCAUCAAUAUGUUACAAUGAUGAAUUGUUGACUGGCCUAUGCUUGUCAUUAAAAUUACACUCUAGGCCAUUCUUUU
This is a non-coding RNA of Coffea arabica (coffee), 4876 nucleotides long. The record is from RefSeq and is a predicted model, not a curated record. Lineage: Eukaryota; Viridiplantae; Streptophyta; Magnoliopsida; Gentianales; Rubiaceae.